CUUUUUCAGAAAAAGAGAAAUUGCUGCUCCUCUGCUAGGGUUUUGAAACCCAUCCCCUUACCGUCGCCAGUCCGCUACUCCUCCGCCAUAGCUCCGCCACAGACGGCGAUUUGAGCCGACGAGGAGUCCACCGACCACUAGGUACGGGUACGGAGGCGCGGACGUGGCACGUACGUGGGGAGAGGCGUGCUCAUAUGGAGGUGUGCGUGGCUGGGGAGAACGGCGCUGGAAGCUGCUAGGGUUUCAACUUCUGAUUUUGCGUUGGGCCGCUUCGUGGUUGGGCUAGGGUCUAGGCAAAUUGGGUUUAGAUUUUAAUUGGCCUUAGUGGGUUAGCAUUUAAGCAUUUGGGCCACUGUAUUGGGUUGAUUUUGGACUGUGGACAUUUAUUAUUAUUUAUUCGAUUUUUUAAUUUUUGAACUGUAUGUGGGCCGGGCAAAUUUGGGCGAUUACAAAGGUAUCUAUACAGGUCUACAACAUAGUUGAAAAUGUAAUUUCAUUUCUUUAAUGUUAAAUAAUUUAAUUUGUAUA
Molecule: long non-coding RNA, 528 nt
Organism: Gossypium raimondii (Peruvian cotton)
Lineage: Eukaryota; Viridiplantae; Streptophyta; Magnoliopsida; Malvales; Malvaceae
Exons: 2
Source: RefSeq, a predicted model, not a curated record